UACGUAGGUGGCAAGCGUUGUCCGGAUUUAUUGGGCUUAAAGGGUGCGUAGGCGGCUUUAUAAGUCAGUGGUGAAAGCCGAUCGCUUAACGAUCGAACUGCCAUUGAUACUGCAAGGCUUGAGUAUAGAUGAGGUAGGCGGAAUUGACAGUGUAGCGGUGAAAUGCAUAGAUAUUGUCAAGAACACCAAUUGCGAAGGCAGCUUACUAAGUUAUAACUGACGCUGAGGCACGAAAGUGCGGGGAUCAAACAGG
This 253-nucleotide ribosomal RNA is filed under the name uncultured bacterium. RNAcentral's name for it is "partial 16S ribosomal RNA". It matches the Rfam family "Bacterial small subunit ribosomal RNA", at positions 524 to 776 of the family's 1533-position model. The record is from RNAcentral.